RNAcentral lists this ribosomal RNA (1356 nucleotides) under uncultured bacterium. RNAcentral's name for it is "16S ribosomal RNA". It matches the Rfam family "Bacterial small subunit ribosomal RNA", at positions 46 to 1401 of the family's 1533-position model. The record is from RNAcentral.
GCCUAAUACAUGCAAGUCGAACGGCAGCACGGAGCUUGCUCUGGUGGCGAGUGGCGAACGGGUGAGUAAUAUAUCGGAACGUACCCUGGAGUGGGGGAUAACGUAGCGAAAGUUACGCUAAUACCGCAUACGAUCUAAGGAUGAAAGUGGGGGAUCGCAAGACCUCAUGCUCGUGGAGCGGCCGAUAUCUGAUUAGCUAGUUGGUAGGGUAAAAGCCUACCAAGGCAUCGAUCAGUAGCUGGUCUGAGAGGACGACCAGCCACACUGGAACUGAGACACGGUCCAGACUCCUACGGGAGGCAGCAGUGGGGAAUUUUGGACAAUGGGCGAAAGCCUGAUCCAGCAAUGCCGCGUGAGUGAAGAAGGCCCUCGGGUUGUAAAGCUCUUUUGUCAGGGAAGAAACGGUGAGAGCUAAUAUCUCUUGCUAAUGACGGUACCUGAAGAAUAAGCACCGGCUAACUACGUGCCAGCAGCCGCGGUAAUACGUAGGGUGCAAGCGUUAAUCGGAAUUACUGGGCGUAAAGCGUGCGCAGGCGGUUUUGUAAGUCUGAUGUGAAAUCCCCGGGCUCAACCUGGGAAUUGCAUUGGAGACUGCAAGGCUAGAAUCUGGCAGAGGGGGGUAGAAUUCCACGUGUAGCAGUGAAAUGCGUAGAUAUGUGGAGGAACACCGAUGGCGAAGGCAGCCCCCUGGGUCAAGAUUGACGCUCAUGCACGAAAGCGUGGGGAGCAAACAGGAUUAGAUACCCUGGUAGUCCACGCCCUAAACGAUGUCUACUAGUUGUCGGGUCUUAAUUGACUUGGUAACGCAGCUAACGCGUGAAGUAGACCGCCCUGGGGAGUACGGUCGCAAGAUUAAAACUCAAAGGAAUUGACGGGGACCCGCACCAAGCGGUGGAUGAUGUGGAUUAAUUCGAUGCAACGCGAAAAACCUUACCUACCCUUGACAUGGCUGGAAUCCCCGAGAGAUCAGGGAGUGCUCGAAAGAGAACCAGUACACAGGUGCUGCAUGGCUGUCGUCAGCUCGUGUCGUGAGAUGUUGGGUUAAGUCCCGCAACGAGCGCAACCCUUGUCAUUAGUUGCUACGAAAGGGCACUCUAAUGAGACUGCCGGUGACAAACCGGAGGAAGGUGGGGAUGACGUCAAGUCCUCAUGGCCCUUAUGGGUAGGGCUUCACACGUCAUACAAUGGUACAUACAGAGCGCCGCCAACCCGCGAGGGGGAGCUAAUCGCAGAAAGUGUAUCGUAGUCCGGAUUGUAGUCUGCAACUCGACUGCAUGAAGUUGGAAUCGCUAGUAAUCGCGGAUCAGCAUGUCGCGGUGAAUACGUUCCCGGGUCUUGUACACACCGCCCGUCACA